GAUUAUAAUUUAAGGUCUGGCCUGCCCACUGAGUAUUUGAAUGGCCGUGGUAUUUUGACCGUGCUAAGGUAGCAUAAUCAUUAGUUUUUUAAUUAAAAACUGGAAUGAAAGGGUUAGAUAAGAAAAUAACUGUCUCUAUUUAAUUUUAUUAGAAUUUUAUUUUUAAGUUAAAAAGCUUAAUUAAUAUUAAAAGACGAGAAGACCCUAUAGAGUUUAAUUUUAAAAUAAAUUUUUUAUUUUAGUAUUUUUUUAUUCAUUUUUUUUUAUAAUUUAAUUGGGGUGAUUAAAAAAUUUAAUUAACUUUUUUUGUAUUUUAACAUUAAUGUAUGAUUUAUUGAUCCAAUUUUUUUGAUUAUAAGAUAAAAUUACCUUAGGGAUAACAGCGUAAUUUUUUUAGAAAGUUCAUAUUGAAAAAAAAGAUUGCGACCUCGAUGUUGGAUUAAAGUUAAUUUUUGGUGUAGAAGCUAAAAUAUUGGGUC
RNAcentral lists this ribosomal RNA (479 nucleotides) under Gonioctena olivacea. RNAcentral's name for it is "partial 16S ribosomal RNA". The record is from RNAcentral. Lineage: Eukaryota; Metazoa; Arthropoda; Insecta; Coleoptera; Chrysomelidae.